AUUGCUUCUAGGCCUUUUGCCUAAGAUCUAGUGUAGUAU
Molecule: small nuclear RNA, 39 nt
Filed under: Cervus elaphus hippelaphus
Lineage: Eukaryota; Metazoa; Chordata; Mammalia; Artiodactyla; Cervidae
Source: RNAcentral